AGUACAUGGUGUAUUUUUUAAAAAUCCUCAAUUUGAUUGGAGUUUUCUGUUUUCCUUGGGUUUUCUCUUUUCUUUUUCUUUUUUUUUUUUUUUUUAAGGUCUGUUCUAAGAAAAGGAAAGCAGGGGAUUUACUAAAGGCAAGUGAUCAUGGUUAACCUGUGAGAUGGAACAAAGGAAGUCUGUGGCCUUCUGUCUGCAUUGGUUUUGCUUGCAUCUCUGUGUAAAGAAACUGCUUCAGAGCAGGUAUAUCAAGGAACAGAAACAGUGGUUUGAGUUCUUUAUGUCUCAUACACUAGUCUCUGGAGUUCUUCUGUAGGCUGUAU
Columba livia (rock pigeon) is the source of this 323-nucleotide long non-coding RNA. RefSeq lists it as uncharacterized. The record is from RefSeq and is a predicted model, not a curated record. The transcript has 3 exons. NCBI's taxonomy places the organism in Eukaryota, Metazoa, Chordata, Aves, Columbiformes, Columbidae.